CUUGUGCUCUUCCGAUCUGGAAAAAAGGAGAGAGAGGAAAGUGUUAAAUGGAGAGAGUCGACUAAUCAGAGACUUUUAGGAUCUUCUUUACAUCAGGUAAAUCUGUCGGCCCUGUCCGUUUUUUUCUUUAUGUUAUGACUCUUUGCUGCUUACUUCUAUCAAGCCAUAGGGAAAGUCUAUGAUGAAUUUGGAAAACUCGUCUCACUCUUACUCUAUGGCUCGGACUUAAUGGGGGAAGAAAACAUCUUCCAGAAUUUCUUUUUUUGUUCAAUUCUGGACAAAAAAGAAAAGG
Triticum aestivum (bread wheat) is the source of this 292-nucleotide long non-coding RNA. RefSeq lists it as uncharacterized. The transcript is spliced from 3 exons. The record is from RefSeq and is a predicted model, not a curated record. NCBI's taxonomy places the organism in Eukaryota, Viridiplantae, Streptophyta, Magnoliopsida, Poales, Poaceae.